This 75-nucleotide transfer RNA is filed under the name Negativicutes bacterium. RNAcentral's name for it is "tRNA-Glu". It matches the Rfam family "tRNA". Rfam says of the family: Transfer RNA (tRNA) molecules are approximately 80 nucleotides in length. Their secondary structure includes four short double-helical elements and three loops (D, anti-codon, and T loops). Lineage: Bacteria; Bacillati; Bacillota; Negativicutes. The record is from RNAcentral.
GGCCCGUUGGUCAAGCGGUUAAGACAGCGCCCUUUCACGGCGUUAACAGGGGUUCGAAUCCCCUACGGGUCACCA